CCUACGGGUGGCAGCAGUGGGGAAUAUUGGACAAUGGGGGCAACCCUGAUCCAGCCAUGCCGCGUGUGUGAAGAAGGCCCUCGGGUUGUAAAGCACUUUCAGUGAGGAAGAACGCCUGGUGGUUAAUACCCAUCAGGAAAGACAUCACUCACAGAAGAAGCACCGGCUAACUCCGUGCCAGUAGCCGCGGUAAUACGGAGGGUGCGAGCGUUAAUCGGAAUUACUGGGCGUAAAGCGCGCGUAGGUGGCUUGAUAAGCCGGUUGUGAAAGCCCCGGGCUCAACCUGGGAACGGCAUCCGGAACUGUCAAGCUAGAGUGCAGGAGAGGAAGGUAGAAUUCCCGGUGUAGCGGUGAAAUGCGUAGAGAUCGGGAGGAAUACCAGUGGCGAAGGCGGCCUUCUGGACUGACACUGACACUGAGGUGCGAAAGCGUGGGUAGCAAACAGGAUUAGAUACCCUUGUAGUC
Molecule: ribosomal RNA, 465 nt
Filed under: Vreelandella stevensii
Lineage: Bacteria; Pseudomonadati; Pseudomonadota; Gammaproteobacteria; Oceanospirillales; Halomonadaceae
Description: partial 16S ribosomal RNA
Rfam family: Bacterial small subunit ribosomal RNA
Source: RNAcentral